This 796-nucleotide ribosomal RNA is filed under the name Dermacentor nuttalli. RNAcentral describes it as "SSU rRNA". It matches the Rfam family "Eukaryotic small subunit ribosomal RNA", at positions 100 to 893 of the family's 1831-position model. The record is from RNAcentral. Lineage: Eukaryota; Metazoa; Arthropoda; Arachnida; Ixodida; Ixodidae.
AAAAUUUCAUAUGGUUCCUUAGAUCGUUUCUUCCUACUUGGAUAACUGUGGCAAUUCUAGAGCUAAUACAUGCAGUGAGCCUGAAGCCCUUUGGGCGACGGGUGCUUUUAUUAGACCAAGAUCGAUCGGGUUUCGGCCCGUAUUGUGUGGUGACUCUGGAUAACUUUGUGCUGAUCGCAUGGCCACGAGCCGGCGACGUUUCUUUCAAGUGUCUGCCUUAUCAACUUUCGAUGGUAGGUUACUUGCUUACCAUGGUUGUUACGGGUAACGGAGAAUCAGGGUUCGAUUCCGGAGAGGGAGCCUGAGAAACGGCUACCACAUCCAAGGAAGGCAGCAGGCGCGCAAAUUACCCACUCCCGGCACGGGGAGGUAGUGACGAAAAAUAACAAUACGGGACUCUUUUGAGGCCCCGUAAUUGAAAUGAGUACACUCUAAAUCCUUUAACGAGGAUCAAUUGGAGGGCAAGUCUGGUGCCAGCAGCCGCGGUAAUUCCAGCUCCAAUAGCGUAUACUAAAGCUGCUGCGGUUAAAAAGCUCGUAGUUGGAUCUCAGUUCCAGACGAGUAGUGCAUCUACCCGAUGCGACGGCUCGGACUGAACAUCAUGCCGGUCCUUUCUUGGUGCACUUCAUUGUGUGCCUCGAGAAGGCCGGUGCUUUUACUUUGAAAAAAUUAGAGUGCUCAACGCAGGCGAGUCGCCUGAAUAAACUUGCAUGGAAUAAUAGAACAAGACCUCGUUUCUGUUCUGUUGGUUUUUGGAAUACGAGGUAAUGAUUAAGAGGGACAGACGGGGGCAUUC